RNAcentral lists this unclassified non-coding RNA (356 nucleotides) under Erysipelothrix rhusiopathiae. RNAcentral describes it as "partial contains 16S-23S ribosomal RNA intergenic spacer and 23S ribosomal RNA". RNAcentral also lists the same sequence under 2 other names. Lineage: Bacteria; Bacillati; Bacillota; Erysipelotrichia; Erysipelotrichales; Erysipelotrichaceae. The record is from RNAcentral.
GGAUCACCUCCUUUCUAAGGAGUAAUUAGAAAGACGUGAAGUUGACACCUAAAGUUUCCUGUUUAGUUUUGAGAGUCCGUUGGAAUCUCAAGAAAAAUGAUCUUUGAAAACUGAAUAACAGAAAAGAAAAAGAGAUAGACAAAGAAAUAAAUGUUAUCAACAUGAUCUUUUCGAAUAGUUGUAUAAAACUAGAUUUACAUCAAGUUAAACAAAAACAGUAACUUAAGCAAUUAAGUAAGCAAUCAAAGCAAACACACAGCUUAUCAAGCGAUAAGCGUUAAAAAAAACCUGAUUUUAAGAAUUAGGGCGCGAAAUUACAUGUGAUUAAAUAUGUAAGGGCGUACGGUGGAUGCCUU